GCGGAAGCAGUGGCGAGUGCCUGUAGUUUCCAGCUACUUGGAGGCAGAGGCGGGAGGAUGGCUUGAGCCCAGGAGUUCUGGGCUGUAGUGUGCUAUACCCUUCGGGUGUCCGCACUAAAUUCGGCAUCAGUAUGGUGACCUCCUGGGAGCAGGGAACCACCAGGUUGCUUAAGGAGGGGUGAACCCACCCAGGUUGGAAACGGAGCAGGUCAAAACUCCCGUGCUGAUCAGUAGCGGGAUCGUGCCUGUGAAUAGCCACUGCACUCCAGCCUGGGCAGCAUAGCGAGACCCCAAGGCCUCAU
Molecule: signal recognition particle RNA, 302 nt
Filed under: Prolemur simus (greater bamboo lemur)
Lineage: Eukaryota; Metazoa; Chordata; Mammalia; Primates; Lemuridae
Description: Metazoan signal recognition particle RNA (ENSPSMG00000016394.1)
Rfam family: Metazoan signal recognition particle RNA
About the family: The signal recognition particle (SRP) is a universally conserved ribonucleoprotein. It is involved in the co-translational targeting of proteins to membranes.
Source: Rfam by way of RNAcentral